GAAAAGAUCGUUGGAAAAUCGUUUUAUCACGAAAUGUCUCCUCCCGAGAAGAGAAAAAUGGAAUUUUAAUCUUUAAUGGAAAAAUUUACAAUCUCAAUAUGGGAAAAAAUACUGUGUAUACUGGUAUGCGUAAUUGUUCGUUUCAAAAAGUAGAGAAUACAGGAAAUGACUUGAUCCAACAACAUGAUGUUCAUUAUUAUCGUGCUGAUCAUGUUGGUGGAACUAAUCAUUUAAAGUAUACUUAUAAAGUCUUUCUUUUCAAUUUUAUAACAUAUGGAACAACCCCAGUAACUAAUACUUUGUCAACUGGAUUUGUAUUUUGGAGUAAUUCCUCCUUUGUCAAGCAGUCCGUAUGAAUCAACACCUAAAUUCCAAGAGUUUAUUGGCUAUUGGCAGGUAGAUGCAACGUUGGUCGUUGACUUUAAUAUGAAUUCGUCUGGUGUACGCAAUCCAUUUCGUAAAUGUAAUAAGAAUUUAUGUUUGUAAAGAUAAAGAAUGAUAUUAAAGAAUUUAAUGCAAAAGAUUCAUAUAUUGAUGGACAUCACGGUUAUGAAAAAUAAAACUAUUUAUUGCUACCAAACUUUCGUCUUUAUUGAUUUAAAUAGUCACACAUUAUACUAGGAUAAGGUUUUUUGUUACAAUUUUUUAAGAAUCCUCCUGUUUUUCAUGUAUAAGAAAUAACCCGGGGUUCAAAAGCUUCAUUGAGUGGAAUAACAUCGUAAUUAGUUAAAGUAAAAACAGGAGUUCUAUGGAUAAUGACCU
This 762-nucleotide long non-coding RNA is filed under the name Androctonus crassicauda. The record is from RNAcentral. Lineage: Eukaryota; Metazoa; Arthropoda; Arachnida; Scorpiones; Buthidae.